Molecule: ribosomal RNA, 447 nt
Filed under: uncultured bacterium
Lineage: Bacteria
Description: bacterial SSU rRNA
Rfam family: Bacterial small subunit ribosomal RNA
Source: RNAcentral
CCCAGACUCCUACGGGAGGCAGCAGUGGGGGAUAUUGCACAAUGGGGGAAACCCUGAUGCAGCGACGCCGCGUGAGUGAAGAAGUAUUUCGGUAUGUAAAGCUCUAUCAGCAGGGAAGAAAGAAGACGGUACCUGACUAAGAAGCCCCGGCUAACCACGUGCCAGCAGCCGCGGUAAUACGUAGGGGGCAAGCGUUAUCCGGAUUUACUGGGUGUAAAGGGAGCGUAGACGGCAAUACAAGUCGGAAGUGAAAUACCCGGGCUCAACCUGGGAACUGCUUUGGAAACUGUAUGGCUGGAGUGCUGGAGAGGUAAGCGGAAUUCCUAGUGUAGCGGUGAAAUGCGUAGAUAUUAGGAGGAACACCAGUGGCGAAGGCGGCUUACUGGACAGUAACUGACGUUGAGGCUCGAAAGCGUGGGGAGCAAACAGGAUUAGAUACCCCCGUAA